ACCCAGGUCGCGUAGUGGUUAACGCCUGGCCGACUCAUCGAGAGUAGUGGGUUCGAAUCCCGCCCUGGUAA
Hypoxylon trugodes is the source of this 71-nucleotide non-coding RNA. The record is from the annotation of a RefSeq genome assembly. NCBI's taxonomy places the organism in Eukaryota, Fungi, Ascomycota, Sordariomycetes, Xylariales, Hypoxylaceae.